Molecule: non-coding RNA, 252 nt
Filed under: Bacillota bacterium
Lineage: Bacteria; Bacillati; Bacillota
Description: Firmicutes bacterium T-box sequence
Rfam family: T-box leader
About the family: Uncharged tRNA acts as the effector for transcription antitermination of genes in the T-box leader family. T-boxes are found upstream of many aminoacyl-tRNA synthetase genes and some amino acid biosynthetic genes usually in Gram-positive bacteria.
Source: RNAcentral
CAUAAACCGUUGAGAAAGAGGAGUAAGCUUUUCAUCAACAUUUCAGAGAGCAGCAGGUGGUGGGAUUGCUGUAUGAAGAGAAUUGCUGAAUGGACUUUCGAGGGCAGCCUGAAAUGUAAUCUACAGAGUAGGCGUUGUCGGGAACCAAACCCGUUAUCAAUGAGGAGCGUAUGACAGUACGUGGAAAGUGGACGAUUCGUCAAUUUGAGUGGUACCGCGAUAAUAAUACAUGAUAUUAUUAGCGUCUCAAGC